RNAcentral lists this ribosomal RNA (815 nucleotides) under uncultured bacterium. Its description in RNAcentral is "bacterial SSU rRNA". It matches the Rfam family "Bacterial small subunit ribosomal RNA", at positions 8 to 796 of the family's 1533-position model. The record is from RNAcentral.
AGAGUUUGAUCCUGGCUGAGAACGAACGCUGGCGGCGUGCUUAACACAUGCCAGUCGAACGAGAAAGAGUUCCUUCGGGAACUUGAGUAGAGUGGCGCACGGGUGAGUAACGCGUAGAUAAUCUACCCUUAUAUAUGGAAUAACUGGGCGAAAGCUCAGCUAAUACCGUAUACGCUUUUCCGGGCGCGAGACCGGGGGAGGAAAGGUGGCCUCUGAUUCAAGCUAUCGUAUAAGGAUGAGUCUGCGUACCAUUAGCUAGUAGGUGGGGUAAUAGCCCACCUAGGCGACGAUGGUUAGCUGGUCUGAGAGGACGAUCAGCCACACUGGAACUGAGACACGGUCCAGACUCCUACGGGAGGCAGCAGUGGGGAAUUUUGCGCAAUGGGGGAAACCCUGACGCAGCAACGCCGCGUGAGUGAUGAAGGCCCUUGGGUCGUAAAGCUCUGACAGAGGGAAAGAAAUGUAGAGGGGCUAAUAUCCCCAUUACUUGACGGUACCCUCAAAGGAAGCACCGGCUAACUCCGUGCCAGCAGCCGCGGUAAUACGGGGGGUGCAAGCGUUGUUCGGAUUUAUUGGGCGUAAAGCGCGUGUAGGCGGUUUUUUAAGUCUGAUGUGAAAGCCCUGGGCUCAACCCGGGAAGUGCAUUGGAUACUGGAAGACUUGAAUACGGGAGAGGGCAGUGGAAUUCCUAGUGUAGGAGUGAAAUCCGUAGAUAUUAGGAGGAACACCGGUGGCGAAGGCGGCUGCCUGGACCGAUAUUGACGCUGAGACGCGAAAGCGUGGGUAGCAAACAGGAUUAGAUACCCUGGUAGUCC